UCGGGAAUUUUGGGCAAUGGGCGAAAGCCUGACCCAGCAACGCCGCGUGAAGGAUGAAGUAUUUCGGUAUGUAAACUUCGUAAGAAUAGGAAGAAUAAAUGACGGUACUAUUUGUAAGGUCCGGCUAACUACGUGCCAGCAGCCGCGGUAAUACGUAGGGACCAAGCGUUGUUCGGAUUUACUGGGCGUAAAGGGCGCGUAGGCGGUGUGUCAAGUCAGUUGUGAAAUCUCCGAGCUUAACUCGGAACGGUCAACUGAUACUGUCACACUAGAGUACAGAAGGGGCAAUCGGAAUUCUUGGUGUAGCGGUGAAAUGCGUAGAUAUCAAGAGGAACACCUGAGGCGAAGGCGGGUUGCUGGGCUGAUACUGACGCUGAGGAGCGAAAGCCAGGGGAGCAAACGGGAUUAGAUACCCCCGUAGUCCCUGAGCGGGCUGGCAAGGCGCAU
This 447-nucleotide ribosomal RNA is filed under the name uncultured bacterium. Its description in RNAcentral is "bacterial SSU rRNA". It matches the Rfam family "Bacterial small subunit ribosomal RNA", at positions 355 to 825 of the family's 1533-position model. The record is from RNAcentral.